RNAcentral lists this long non-coding RNA (1921 nucleotides) under Sus scrofa (pig). RNAcentral describes it as "lncRNA (ENSSSCG00035048640.1)". The record is from RNAcentral. Lineage: Eukaryota; Metazoa; Chordata; Mammalia; Artiodactyla; Suidae.
GGGAGCGGCGAGUGAACAGGAACUUCUUAUGGAGGCUGGAGAGGAAAUCAAUUCUCUCCUUGCCUGGAGAUGCAAACAUAAUGGAAAGAUCUGGGCGUCUUAGGAGACCAUAGAGUGAGUCAGCAAAUCAGUGCUGGUUUGUUUUUUUGAAAGCUAAUGUGAUGCUGUGAUGUGUAAUAAUAACAGGAAUACAACCUGCAGGAAUCAUAAAAUAACUCCUUAGCAUUGAUCAGGGCCUUAUUAAAGUGGUGUGAUCAGCUUGGGGUCUGUAAUUGAAGAGGGAAGUGAAGAUGUCACAGAGGAAAGAGAGCGCUGUUGUGGCUUGUCCCUGAAUUCUGUGUGCUGCAAGGACGCUGCACACAGACUCCCCCCACCCACCCAGCUGUCGCAGUGGCUGUUGCAGUGAUGUCACACUGAGCCUAUAGGCUCCGCGAGUGAAAGAUGGGGGUGAGGCAUGGCGGGAGCAGAGAGCCUAGGUGGCAAAGGCAGAACAGGGGGUCAGACUAAGGGAAGCCAGAGAGCCUGAGACUAGGCAGGACACCUGCAAAGGGGCACAGCCGGCUGCCGCCUCGGCCAGGAGGCAUUGUUUACACUUCCAGCUGGGAGUCAGCGCAGCGGUUUUUCUCCUGCUUGUUGCCGAAAGGAAGCCAAGAGGCAGGGGAGUUGGUUCCAGCCCUUAGCUGGGCUUUCUGAACCUACGGAUUACAUGAGCGCAAACCCAGGUAGAUCACCACUGGACCUUCGAAAUGAGGGAAAAAUUGAAACAGAAGACAAAAACAGCGAUGCGAGUCCCUCGUGAAAUUAACCAGGAUCCACACAUCAUGAAUAUAGAUGACCAUUGGGCGUCAUCUGCUACACAAACUACAGGGUCGUGGUCACUCCAUCCUAGACGACUGCUUUCUGAAGGCAUUUUCAACUCGCUAAUAAUGCUCAUUCUCCAUCAGCGUGCUCCGUCUGUCUGGGGGAAGGAUUUUGUUGACUGCAAUUUGAAACUUCCGUCGAAUUUAAGGGGUAGUGGCAACUCAGACAGCAGCUUAUACACCUGUGUUCCUGCGAUGCUCUUUCCGUCACAGCCCUGGGCAGCUUUUUGGACCUUUUGGCUGCCAUCCUUUUCCAGCCGAGAAGCUUUUCUUCUGUUUUAUGCUACCACCACCUGCUGUCCUGUUCCUACCACACAGAAACUCGUCUCCCCUUUUCCCAAAGGAACGAAUCUGACUGCAAGGCCACGAUAGGAAUAUCUUUCAGGGAGAUUAAGCAAUGACACAACUUUUCGAGGCUUAAUUUUAAAAGCACAGACUUUUAAAAUGAACGUGUUAUUUUAAAUGCCUGUAAAGAAAGUACUUUUCUUUUAGUCAUGUGAUGAUAAAGGGCUGAAUAUGAUUUUCACCAUGGCAAGAGGAAACGAUCGGAUGGGUGAUCCUUUUCAUUUAUUUUUAUUUAACAAACAUUUAAAUCGUGUUUAGUAUAUGUCGGGCACUAUUUUAAGUUCUCUAUCAGGAUAAGUCUUGUAAUCCUUAUAACAACCCUGUGAAGUAGGUUCUAUUAUUAUUCCCAUUUUGGAGAUGAGAGACCCAAGGCACAAAGAGGUCAAAUAACAUGCUCAGGGUUGCUGUAGUGGGUUACGUUCGUGUUUAAAAUAUUAGAUGCUCCUCCCUGUUGGCAUCAGUCUCAGCUAUGUUACUUGCAGUGCUUUCCUUUCUCCAUGUACAUUCGGCCUGACCGGGUGACUGGCAUUGUCCUAUGACAUCUGAACAGAGCAAAAGGUUCCGAGCAAAAGCCUUUUUUUAAAAAAAAGUCAGCUCAGAGUCCACCAUGUUCUUCCCUUCUUUAUCCAGGAAAGCAGUAGUGUUUGAGAGAGGGGAUGUUCUUUCAUAUUGGAUUUGAGAAUAAAGACAGAUGGAGCGGAACUGGAGCUGACCCC